This 465-nucleotide ribosomal RNA is filed under the name Vreelandella stevensii. RNAcentral describes it as "partial 16S ribosomal RNA". It matches the Rfam family "Bacterial small subunit ribosomal RNA", at positions 338 to 795 of the family's 1533-position model. Lineage: Bacteria; Pseudomonadati; Pseudomonadota; Gammaproteobacteria; Oceanospirillales; Halomonadaceae. The record is from RNAcentral.
CCUACGGGGGGCAGCAGUGGGGAAUAUUGGACAAUGGGGGCAACCCUGAUCCAGCCAUGCCGCGUGUGUGAAGAAGGCCCUCGGGUGGUAAAGCACUUUCAGUGAGGAAGAACGCCUGGUGGUUAAUACCCAUCAGGAAAGACAUCACUCACAGAAGAAGCACCGGCUAACUCCGUGCCAGCAGCCGCGGUAAUACGGAGGGUGCGAGCGUUAAUCGGAAUUACUGGGCGUAAAGCGCGCGUAGGUGGCUUGAUAAGCCGGUUGUGAAAGCCCCGGGCUCAACCUGGGAACGGCAUCCGGAACUGUCAAGCUAGAGUGCAGGAGAGGAAGGUAGAAUUCCCGGUGUAGCGGUGAAAUGCGUAGAGAUCGGGAGGAAUACCAGUGGCGAAGGCGGCCUUCUGGACUGACACUGACACUGAGGUGCGAAAGCGUGGGUAGCAAACAGGAUUAGAUACCCGUGUAGUC